GAUGAACGCUAGCUACAGGCUUAGCACAUGCAAGUCGAGGGGAAACGACAUCGAAAGCUUGCUUUUGAUGGGCGUCGACCGGCGCACGGGUGAGUAACGCGUAUCCAACCUGCCCACCACUUGGGGAUAACCUUGCGAAAGUAAGACUAAUACCCAAUGGCGUCUCUAGAAGACAUCUGAAAGAGAUUAAAGAUUUAUCGGUGAUGGAUGGGGAUGCGUCUGAUUAGCUUGUUGGCGGGGUAACGGCCCACCAAGGCGACGAUCAGUAGGGGUUCUGAGAGGAAGGUCCCCCACAUUGGAACUGAGACACGGUCCAAACUCCUACGGGAGGCAGCAGUGAGGAAUAUUGGUCAAUGGACGAGAGUCUGAACCAGCCAAGUAGCGUGCAGGAUGACGGCCCUAUGGGUUGUAAACUGCUUUUAUAAGGGAAUAAAGUGAGUCUCGUGAGACUUUUUGCAUGUACCUUAUGAAUAAGGACCGGCUAAUUCCGUG
Molecule: ribosomal RNA, 492 nt
Filed under: uncultured bacterium
Lineage: Bacteria
Description: partial 16S ribosomal RNA
Rfam family: Bacterial small subunit ribosomal RNA
Source: RNAcentral